UUAUGGUUCCUUAGAUCGUACCCACAUUUACUUGGAUAACUGUGGUAAUUCUAGAGCUAAUACAUGCAAACAGAGUUCCGACCGGAGACGGGAGGAAUGCUUUUAUUAGAUCAAAACCAAUCGGCGGCGGGCGCGUUCGCGCGUCCGUUCGCCGCUCAACUUGGUGACUCUGAAUAACUUUCGGCUGAUCGCACGGUCCAGCACCGGCGACGCAUCUUUCAAAUGUCUGCCUUAUCAACUGUCGAUGGUAGGUUCUGCGCCUACCAUGGUCGUAACGGGUAACGGGGAAUCAGGGUUCGAUUCCGGAGAGGGAGCCUGAGAAACGGCUACCACAUCCAAGGAAGGCAGCAGGCGCGCAAAUUACCCACUCCCGGCACGGGGAGGUAGUGACGAAAAAUAACGAUACGGGACUCAUCCGAGGCCCCGUAAUCGGAAUGAGUACACUUUAAAUCCUUUAACGAGGAUCAAUUGGAGGGCAAGUCUGGUGCCAGCAGCCGCGGUAAUUCCAGCUCCAAUAGCGUA
Molecule: ribosomal RNA, 522 nt
Filed under: Agabus didymus
Lineage: Eukaryota; Metazoa; Arthropoda; Insecta; Coleoptera; Dytiscidae
Description: SSU rRNA
Rfam family: Eukaryotic small subunit ribosomal RNA
Source: RNAcentral